CUAGCCCAUUUAAGACUUGUUUUUUUCUGAGGAUAGCCUGUUUCUCCUAUAUUGGAAGAUAUUUCACAUUUUUGGUAGACUUGUUUACCAACCGCCAUGAAUUUCAAAUUUUAGGCCAAAACAGCUGAACGUCAAAAUAAUUUCUAAUUGAACUGUAUUUCCAGUUCGGACACUUUGGCUUGAAAGUUGACACACUUUGAUUUCACACUUUAGUGAAUAACCCUGUUAAGUGCGGCUUACAGUCUAGACUUCAAAUCAAUUUUGACCUGCCACGAGCCUCAAACUUUUGCUUAAUGAAGUGCUUUAUGCACUGUGUGGGUAGGGCUACAUAAACAAAGCCACCUCAAUGGUGGUUUAAACACUAUACAUACAUGAUAGGAAGAGCUGAGACAGGAUCUGCAACAGAGCACACCUGAUAUCAGUCCUAUUAUCCUGGCAGCGAUGACUGAAUUGAAAUAAUUGGCAUAGAGUGCC
This is a non-coding RNA of Pelobates cultripes (western spadefoot toad), 474 nucleotides long. The record is from the annotation of a GenBank genome assembly. NCBI's taxonomy places the organism in Eukaryota, Metazoa, Chordata, Amphibia, Anura, Pelobatidae.